UACGUAGGGGGCAAGCGUUGUUCGGAUUUACUGGGCGUAAAGGGCGCGUAGGCGGCGUGACAAGUCACUUGUGAAAUCUCCGGGCUUAACUCGGAACGGCCAAGUGAUACUGUCGUGCUAGUGUACAGAAGGGGCAAUCGGAAUUCUUGGUGUAGCGGUGAAAUGCGUAGAUAUCAAGAGGAACACCUGAGGUGAAGACGGGUUGCUGGGCUGAUACUGACGCUGAGGCGCGAAAGCUAGGGUAGCAAACGGG
Molecule: ribosomal RNA, 253 nt
Filed under: uncultured bacterium
Lineage: Bacteria
Description: partial 16S ribosomal RNA
Rfam family: Bacterial small subunit ribosomal RNA
Source: RNAcentral